RNAcentral lists this ribosomal RNA (649 nucleotides) under uncultured bacterium. RNAcentral describes it as "bacterial SSU rRNA". It matches the Rfam family "Bacterial small subunit ribosomal RNA", at positions 43 to 692 of the family's 1533-position model. The record is from RNAcentral.
CAGGCCUAACACAUGCAAGUCGAGCGGUAUUGUUUCUUCGGAAAUGAGAGAGCGGCGUACGGGUGCGGAACACGUGUGCAACCUGCCUUUAUCUGGGGGAUAGCCUUUCGAAAGGAAGAUUAAUACUCCAUAAUAUAUUGAACGGCAUCGUUUAAUAUUGAAAGCUCCGGCGGAUAGAGAUGGGCACGCGCAAGAUUAGCUAGUUGGUGAGGUAACGGCUCACCAAGGCAAUGAUCUUUAGGGGGCCUGAGAGGGUGAUCCCCCACACUGGUACUGAGACACGGACCAGACUCCUACGGGAGGCAGCAGUGAGGAAUAUUGGUCAAUGGGUGCAAGCCUGAACCAGCCAUCCCGCGUGAAGGACGACUGCCCUAUGGGUUGUAAACUUCUUUUGUAUAGGGAUAAACCUACCCUCGUGAGGGUAGCUGAAGGUACUAUACGAAUAAGCACCGGCUAACUCCGUGCCAGCAGCCGCGGUAAUACGGAGGGUGCAAGCGUUAUCCGGAUUUAUUGGGUUUAAAGGGUCCGUAGGCGGACUUAUAAGUCAGUGGUGAAAGCCUGUCGCUUAACGAUAGAACUGCCAUUGAUACUGUAAGUCUUGAGUAUAUUUGAGGUAGCUGGAAUAAGUAGUGUAGCGGUGAAAUGCAUA